GUGGGCGUAGCUCAGUUGGGAGAGUGCAAGAUUGUGAUUCUUGUUGUCGCGGGUUCGAUCCCCGUCGUCCACCCCA
This 76-nucleotide transfer RNA is filed under the name Olavius algarvensis Gamma 3 endosymbiont. It matches the Rfam family "tRNA". From Rfam's summary of the family: Transfer RNA (tRNA) molecules are approximately 80 nucleotides in length. Their secondary structure includes four short double-helical elements and three loops (D, anti-codon, and T loops). Lineage: Bacteria; Pseudomonadati; Pseudomonadota; Gammaproteobacteria. The record is from RNAcentral.